GGCACAUUAGCGUAGUUGGUAGCGCGUCGAGCUCGUAACUCGAAGGUCGUGGGUUCAAGUCCCUCAUGUGCCU
This is a non-coding RNA of Spodoptera litura, 73 nucleotides long. Lineage: Eukaryota; Metazoa; Arthropoda; Insecta; Lepidoptera; Noctuidae. The record is from the annotation of a RefSeq genome assembly.